CUAAAAGCUCAGAGCCUUUUGAAUCCAUAGUGUCACCAGCUAAAAGCUCAGAGCCUUUUGAAUCCAUAGUGUUCUCACCAGGACAGGGUAUUUGGAAGCAGCUGUUGUGGGAGUGUGUACACACACACAGAAAUCCAAGUGGAAUUCUGAAUGAUUGGCACCAUGGGAAACCCAACACUUGAUAAAGAGCAGUGCAUAUGGUGAAUGUGGGGGACAAAUUCUGAAGCUGUAAUUCAGGGUGCAAAAAUUGAUAUUUUAUCCCCAACAUGCUCCUAACCUGGGCACUCUGGCACCCACUCAGCAGAGGCAGAGGACUGCUCAGAGGUUGAAGGAAUGCACACUGAUGCCAUUUCCUGAGGAAUUGGGCAAUUCUUCCUGGCAGGAGCUGCUGGUUACCAGAGACUGUGUUUGCUGAAGGUGGGAACACCCAUGUGAGCAAAAAGCACUCUUCCCAUGAGCACUGACUGAACUCUGACACACUAAAAAUCCUUAAGAAUUUUCCAAAUUUUCACUACUGCUUAUUUUGAUUUGGGGUUGUCCAGCCUGUCUGUCCAUCCAGCCUGUCUGUCCAUCCAGCCCUUGAUCCCCCUGGGGAAGACCUGACCCUCCAAGAGGGACUGUUGGAUCACUUAAAGGAUGUCACACAAAGAGAUAUUCCAUGGGAGAUUGGUG
This 672-nucleotide long non-coding RNA is filed under the name Serinus canaria (Common canary). RNAcentral describes it as "lncRNA (ENSSCAG00000012222.1)". The record is from RNAcentral. Lineage: Eukaryota; Metazoa; Chordata; Aves; Passeriformes; Fringillidae.